Molecule: ribosomal RNA, 465 nt
Filed under: Vreelandella stevensii
Lineage: Bacteria; Pseudomonadati; Pseudomonadota; Gammaproteobacteria; Oceanospirillales; Halomonadaceae
Description: partial 16S ribosomal RNA
Rfam family: Bacterial small subunit ribosomal RNA
Source: RNAcentral
CCUACGGGUGGCAGCAGUGGGGAAUAUUGGACAAUGGGCGAAAGCCUGAUCCAGCCAUGCCGCGUGUGUGAAGAAGGCCUUCGGGUUGUAAAGCACUUUCAUUGGGGAAGAAAGCCUUGGGGCUAAUACCCUCGAGGAAGGACAUCACCCACAGAAGAAGCACCGGCUAACUCCGUGCCAGCAGCCGCGGUAAUACGGAGGGUGCGAGCGUUAAUCGGAAUUACUGGGCGUAAAGCGCGCGUAGGCGGUCUGAUAAGCCGGUUGUGAAAGCCCCGGGCUCAACCUGGGAACGGCAUCCGGAACUGUCAGGCUAGAGUGCAGGAGAGGAAGGUAGAAUUCCCGGUGUAGCGGUGAAAUGCGUAGAGAUCGGGAGGAAUACCAGUGGCGAAGGCGGCCUUCUGGACUGACACUGACGCUGAGGUGCGAAAGCGUGGGUAGCAAACAGGAUUAGAUACCCCUGUAGUC